Poeciliopsis prolifica (blackstripe livebearer) is the source of this 1208-nucleotide long non-coding RNA. RefSeq lists it as uncharacterized. The transcript is spliced from 3 exons. The record is from RefSeq and is a predicted model, not a curated record. NCBI's taxonomy places the organism in Eukaryota, Metazoa, Chordata, Actinopteri, Cyprinodontiformes, Poeciliidae.
CUGAGGGACCACUCGCAGGCAGUCAAGUCUUGAAGAUUUGUCUUUUGUUUAUCACUCUAGAGAAAGUUACACUGGUGCCGUGACUCCGUGAUCCCUGAUCAGCUUGAUGCUGUUCGCCCGGGUUGCUGUCAUCUACAAGCUACCUCUUUACUACAAGACAUAUCAACUCACCUGGACCACAAGUGUUUCCUUGUGACGCCUUGAAAUUCCCCUGUGAAGUCUGAGUCCAAGCUUUCUGGGAUUUCUCCCCUCAUGACACUAUGGAUUGUUACCCACUGGUUGCCCGAGUCCCUUCUUCGCCUCAGCAGAUCUUCAAUAAGCCUUUCCUGGAUUUCCAGCGGGCAGUCAAUUCGCUCCUCGCUCCUCCACACCUGAACUUACCUGUCCGUCUUCCACCACAGCUUCUACAUCUACCUGUCAAGACCUCACUCUGUCAAGACCUCACUCUGUCAAGAACUCAUGCUGGAACCCGGAUCACUUCAAGGACACCCACAAAGAGACCAUGCCCCAGAAACCAUGGUAUUCUCCUCUGGCGGAAGUUUAUCUUCAUCUCAAAAUACAGACGGCCCUGGUUGCCAACCCCAAGGACAUGAACUACACAAUCUUACUUUUCGUCAUUGUUAUCUGAUCAUUUGUUCUCCUGAUGUUGUUCUGUAUGUGGGUAAAGAAACUAGGACCCAUCAUGACAUCAUUACUAUAAUUAGUCAAAACAGUAGGUGUCAUAAAGGAGACUGAAGAGGUGCAAAGUGGAUUAAUCAUUUUCUCUGUGAAUGUAUAACUUAUGUUGAUUAUUAGCAUUAACAUAUCGACAUGCUGGUCACGUUCUAAUUUUAAGUAUAGCUAUUGUCAUUACUAUAAUUAUGAUUUUUCAUUAGCCUGACUUUUUUUUGUUUUAUUAUUUAUUUUUUGGUGCCGACAACAACAAAAAACAUUAUGGUAUGCAAUGUCAAGUUUUGAUUGUACCUUUUAUUCUUAAUAACUUGGCAUUAGUGUUGUUGGGUUGUUUCUGACUGUUGACAAUCGUUCACUGGUGAAAGGCACCAGCCCUCCAUGACCCUGGUAAAGAUUAGAAGAGUGAAGAAAAUAAAAAAAGGCAAUUUCAAUUUUAGACGGAGCUUGUUUCAGAUUGAUUUGAUCUGAAGUUGGAGGAGGAAGUGGGUUGGUUAUUAACAGAUUAUAUCUCUGAAAUAAUAAAGACUGAUAUCAAA